This 220-nucleotide long non-coding RNA is filed under the name Mytilus galloprovincialis (Mediterranean mussel). The record is from RNAcentral. Lineage: Eukaryota; Metazoa; Mollusca; Bivalvia; Mytilida; Mytilidae.
GGCUUGUGAUGUGGUUCGUGAUGCUUGGUGUUUAGUUUUCUAUGUUCUGGUUUGAAUAAUUUUCUUUCUAUUUUUUUGUCGUAUUUGAAUUUUGUGCAAUGAUGUUUUCAGUUUUUCUUCGGUUUGUGAGUCUGAAUAUUAAUUUGCUUUCUUCCGCCUUUCUAUACGUAAUGAUUUAAUACAAAGUAGAUUGAACAAUAUUAGUUUACACUAAUCUAAG